This 484-nucleotide ribosomal RNA is filed under the name uncultured bacterium. RNAcentral's name for it is "partial 16S ribosomal RNA". It matches the Rfam family "Bacterial small subunit ribosomal RNA", at positions 29 to 507 of the family's 1533-position model. The record is from RNAcentral.
AUUGAACGCUGGCGGCAUGCUUUACACAUGCAAGUCGAACGGCAGCGCGGGCUUCGGCCUGGCGGCGAGUGGCGAACGGGUGAGUAAUGCAUCGGAACGUGCCCAGUAGUGGGGGAUAGCACGGCGAAAGCCGGAUUAAUACCGCAUACGACCUGAGGGUGAAAGCGGGGGACCGAAAGGCAUCGAGCUAUUGGAGCGGCCGAUGUCGGAUUAGCUAGUUGGUGGGGUAAAGGCUUACCAAGGCGACGAUCCGUAGCUGGUCUGAGAGGACGACCAGCCACACUGGAACUGAGACACGGCCCAGACUCCUACGGGAGGCAGCAGUGGGGAAUUUUGGACAAUGGGGGCAACCCUGAUCCAGCCAUGCCGCGUGCGGGAAGAAGGCCUUCGGGUUGUAAACCGCUUUUGUUCGGGAAGAAAUCCUCUGGGCUAAUACCCCGGGGGGAUGACGGUACCGGAAGAAUAAGCACCGGCUAACUACGUG